GAUCCAGUACAGCGGAUCUCUUCCAUCUAUAUUCUGAAGAACUUGAAGAUGAGAGGGGUUCCUCCUGCCACGGCUCUGUCAUCCAGGGCCAGUUUGAGGGUUCCGUCCUUACAGCCAAUAUCAUGUAGAGCCCAUCCACAGAUACACCAGCGACCCCUCACAACACCACUCAAUCAUCUACCAUGAGGACAACAUAGGGAGCUGGGGAGGGAUUUGUUCAAGACACACGCUGCAGAACUACACCCAGUACCUCCCCCCUCAACAUGUUAAGGUCACCCUGGCCCACGAGCUGUGCCACAGCCUGAGUGCCGCUGUGAGUACUGGACAAUGUCAUCCUUGCCUAUUGUUAUUGUUUUUCCCCAUUGGUGUUCCAACACAUACUUUUAUUUGUUAUAUCACUGAUAUUUGAUGUUUGAUAUAUCAUUAUAUGCCAUUUGAUUAUAUUACUUAUUUUGUUGUACAGGUCUUGUUGCAGCUCUCUGUGUUAAUUCAUUGUCACAUUCUGACCUUAGUUCCUUUGUUUUGUCUUUGUUUUAGCAUGGUCGGGGCGUGAGUUGGGGUGGGCAGUCUAUGUUCUUUUUUCUAGAAUUUGGG
Oncorhynchus mykiss (rainbow trout) is the source of this 594-nucleotide long non-coding RNA. RefSeq lists it as uncharacterized. The record is from RefSeq and is a predicted model, not a curated record. Lineage: Eukaryota; Metazoa; Chordata; Actinopteri; Salmoniformes; Salmonidae.